GGCUCAGGAUGAACGCUAGCGACAGGCUUAACACAUGCAAGUCGAGGGGCAGCACAGGUAGCAAUACUGGGUGGCGACCGGCGCACGGGUGCGUAACGCGUAUGCAACCUACCUAUAAUAGGGGGAUAGCCUUCUGAAAGGGAGAUUAAGACCGCAUAAUACAACUGAAUCGCAUGGAUUAGUUGUAAAAUAUUUAUAGAUUAUAGAUGGGCAUGCGUCUGAUUAGAUAGUUGGAGAGGUAACGGCUCACCAAGUCAACGAUCAGUAGGGGUUCUGAGAGGAAGGUCCCCCACACCGGAACUGAGACACGGUCCGGACUCCUACGGGAGGCAGCAGUGAGGAAUAUUGGUCAAUGGGCGAGAGCCUGAACCAGCCAAGUCGCGUGAAGGAAGAAGGUCUUAUGGAUUGUAAACUUCUUUUAUAGGGGAAUAAAGAUGAGUACGUGUACUCAGUUGUAGGUACCCUAAGAAUAAGGAUCGGCUAACUCCGUGCCAGCAGCCGCGGUAAUACGGAGGAUCCGAGCGUUAUCCGGAUUUAUUGGGUUUAAAGGGUGCGUAGGCGGGUUGAUAAGUCAGUGGUGAAAGGUUUGCGCUCAACGUAGACAUUGCCAUUGAAACUGUCAGUCUUGAGUACAAAUGAGGUAGGCGGAAUGUGUUGUGUAGCGGUGAAAUGCAUAGAUAUGACACAGAACACCAAUUGCGAAGGCAGCUUACUGGGAUGUAACUGACGCUGAG
Molecule: ribosomal RNA, 734 nt
Filed under: uncultured bacterium
Lineage: Bacteria
Description: bacterial SSU rRNA
Rfam family: Bacterial small subunit ribosomal RNA
Source: RNAcentral